UGUGCUAAGGUAGCAUAAUCAUUUGUCUUUUAAAUGAAGACUAGAACAAAAGAUUUCACAUUUUAAUCUUUUUAUUUUUCUUUAAAAUAAAAAUUUUCUAUAGUGUAAAAAGACACUAAUACAAAAGAAAGACGACAAGACCCUAUUGAACUUAACUUUAGUUUAACUGGGGCAGUUAAUUAAUUAUAAUUUUAAUUAUAAUUUUACUUUAAAAAUCCAAUAAAAUUGAUAAUUCAGUUACCAUAGGGAUAACAGCGCAAUUAUCUUUUUAAGAUCUUAUAUAAAAAAUAGAUUACGACCUCGAUGUUGAAUUAAUAACCUAAUUAAAGCAAAUAUUAAAAUAGGAAGUCUGUUCGACUUUUAAAAAAUUACAUGAUUUGAGUUCAGACCGGUGUAAGCCAGGUCGGUUUCCAUCUUCUAAAAUAAUUAUUACAGUACGAAAGGACCUAAUAAUAUAAUAUUAUUAUAUAAUUGGCAGAUUAAUGCAUUAGAAUUAGAAUCUAAUAAAACUGAA
This 514-nucleotide ribosomal RNA is filed under the name Thyenula sp. South Africa. Its description in RNAcentral is "partial 16S ribosomal RNA". The stretch from base 126 to 419 matches the Rfam family "Bacterial large subunit ribosomal RNA", at positions 2074 to 2646 of the family's 2925-position model. Lineage: Eukaryota; Metazoa; Arthropoda; Arachnida; Araneae; Salticidae. The record is from RNAcentral.